Long non-coding RNA from Oncorhynchus tshawytscha (Chinook salmon), 352 nucleotides. Lineage: Eukaryota; Metazoa; Chordata; Actinopteri; Salmoniformes; Salmonidae. The record is from Ensembl.
UAUAUUGUUGGAUGCCUUGGUUACACCCUGAGGUCCUGAAUAUUGUUGGAUGCCUUGGUUACACCUUGAGACCCUGAAUAUUGUUGGAUGCCUUGGUUACACCCUGAGAUGCUGAAUAUAGUUGGAUGCCUUGGUUACAUCCUGAGGUCCUGAAUAUUGUUGGAUGCCUUGGUUACACCCUGAGGUCCUGAAUAUUGUUGGAUGCCUUGAUUACACCCUGAGACACUGAAUAAUGAUGGAUGCCUUGAUUACACCCUGAGGUCCUGAAUAUUGUUGGAUGCCUUGGUUACACCCUGAGGUCCUGAAUAUUGUUGGAUGCCUUGGUUACACCCUGAGGUCCUGAAUAUUGUUG